Molecule: long non-coding RNA, 1926 nt
Organism: Ruditapes philippinarum (Manila clam)
Lineage: Eukaryota; Metazoa; Mollusca; Bivalvia; Venerida; Veneridae
Exons: 2
Source: RefSeq, a predicted model, not a curated record
AUAUUCAGUUUAAGCGCUUGAGUUUAAACUCUUUAUUUUUACACUAUACGUCACAGUAUUUUUGCAAUGACCUGUAUAUUUGGCUCCUCCUCCUAACAAGUCAUUCAAUCUCGUUCGCGCAUGCUUAGUAGACUGGGUAUAUAAACCGAGCACGCUUCUGCAAAUUCCUUUUCGAUCCAGUCUCCGAGCUCCAGAAGCUGCCGUGAACUAACACGGAAAAAUAUUGGAGAAAAAAUUAUGUAGCGGUUCUGAACAAACAUGGCAAUAAGACUUCAUUUUUGUGUUUUUUAAAGUAGCCGAAGGUUUUCUUUGAAGAGACUGGUCAACAUUAUGUUUUAGACAAUGGCACCAGAACAGAACACAGAAGUCGGUAGAACCAGCAGAAGUUGUGAUGCCUAAAUAAAAGCUAAUUGUUGAUACAGAUUAACCGAUAGACAGGUGACGUCACUGUUUUUAAAUACAAAUUAUAGUUAAAAUUUAAUCUAAUGCUGUUUGUGACAAAAAUGACAUUAUCAAUUAAAUACACAUAUAUUCCUUGUAUUACAGAAGAGUUCUUCAAAAAUGCAGAAUAUUAACAAAAUGUCGGUAUUUAACAUAAAAUAUUCUUAAAAGCAACUGUAAGAAAAUGUUUUAAACUUGGGCGGAUACCUUGGAGUGAUGGAUUUUUGUAAUUUUGCACAUUAGUAAUUAUCUAUUACUGUAUCAAAUAAUACGAUAAUUAAAAAAAAAAAAAAUAUUUUCAGUACUGUCAUGUCCAAAAAUCUCUUCAGUCGAGUACUUUUAAGUUAUAAGACAUCAAGGACCUUUAAUUCAUAAAAUGACAAUAAUAAUAAAAUAUUGGGGGGGAGACAGGAAAAAGAAAAGUCAAUUAAUGAUUUAAAAUGGGAAAACAUGUGACUAUUGAUACACUUACAUCUAGUCAUCACAAUAUAAUUUAUUCUUUACCUUUUUGAACAUUUCCCCUGUCUUCCAGAGAUGUAAAAUUAUGUCUAUAUUACAAUACAUUCGAGUUAACAUGAACUAGAUAUCACUCUUGGUUUUGCUCUUAAAUAUAGUUUAAAUCUAGGGAAUAUGCCUAUUUGGAUAUUAAAUCUGCAUUCAUCAUUUGCGGGAACAUUAAUUGUAAAUAAACAUUUGCCAUUUUAAUGGGUCGGGUUGCACAAUUUUCAUUUUCAAAGUCAAGCAAUAAUUUCUAAAAUUUUAUAGAUAUCGUUCAAAUGGCAGUAGUUUAAACCUAUGACUUUCUGUCAUUAGGUUAGGAUUUUGGUUUUCUUACAUUAUAACAUGUGACGUUUACUGUAGUUAAGUAUUUACAUAUUAAGUGACUGAAAUCGACGCCGAAAACUAAGCCAUCCGAAUUCCUCAGCAUAAUUUGCACAAAUUCAUGGUCUUGAGUGUGAGCAUCAGUUUUGAGUUUUAUUACUAAAUGCAAAAAAAAAAGAAAAGAAAAAAAGUAAUAAUAAUUAUAUAUAAUAAUACUAAUAAUAAGAAUGACAAUAAUGAUGCAAUGGUAUGGAUGCUAUUGCUCAACGGUUUCGCCGUAUCAAUUUUAAUGAGUUAAGGUUAAAUAAGUUUUUGAAUUUUAUAUUAAAGGCGAUCAUUGGUAAUUAACGGCAUGGCUUAUGGGGAGAAUAGCAUUUCUUGAGAAAUUUUCUUUUAAGAAUUCGUACAAGUGGAAUUGUUGCAUGUAUACAUCUGUUAGGAAACGAUGUGAAAAAUAAAAAUAAUAUAAUUAAUACUGCUGAGAAAUAUGAAAUUGUCAUAUAGACAAAAUAUAUGGAUCCAUGAGGAAUAAAUGAACGUGUGAUGAAAUUUGCUUUCAUCUAAUAUUUGUUUAUCUUAGAAAUAAACACUAAAAUAAAAAAAUAAAAUAAAUAAAAUAAAAAUAAAAAAUAAUAAUAAUAAAAAAAAAAAAAAAAAUAAUAA